GUCUAUGGCCAUGCCACCCUGAACAAGCCCAAUCCCAUCUGAUCUUGGAAGCUAAGCAGGGUUGGGCCUGGUUAGUACUUGGAUGAGAGACCACCUAGGAAGAUCACGUGCUGUAGGCA
RNAcentral lists this ribosomal RNA (119 nucleotides) under Pteropus alecto (black flying fox). Lineage: Eukaryota; Metazoa; Chordata; Mammalia; Chiroptera; Pteropodidae. RNAcentral also lists the same sequence under 1 other name. The record is from RNAcentral.